AUCAGUAGCUCGUGCGAGCAUGGCGCGACCCACUAGCCGUACUCUAGUACACGAUGUCAUGCUGUGUUUACGCAUGUGGUGAGCGGGCACAAACUUCCCUGCUGCUGUCGCUUACGGCCACCUCCAUAAGUAAACGAGUGCACGAAUCAGCUCAAUACCUACGUCCGUUGCUUUUUUUGUUCAUGUUGUAGCGGCACGCUUGUACACACAAAGAAGAAAAGGAGCGGGUGAAGAGGACUUUGUUUUUGCUGUAGCGGCCUCGCUCCAUCCAGUGCUUUAGUGCCGAGCCUUCUAAAUAGACGGCUCCCGCCUUGUAACAAUAUGUCAUGCGCGUAACUUUGCAUCCGUGGUCGACAUUGUAAUAACACAGAUACGGUAUAUUACACAGCUUCUGCUGAUCUUAGUUGUGCCCGUCAAGAUAUAGCCCAUCGCUGCACCGUUGACAACAAUUAGCUGCAAGUGCUGAUUGCUGCUGGUUGGCUCAGUCCAGAAUCAGGGCCAACCGAAAUGUUCAUCUGCUCAUGACUUUCAAGGAGUUCUUGGACGCAACUUCUCCAUGCUCACAAAGCACCCUGUGUUUCUUCCCCACUAGCAAUCAGCCCACGAGACACUAUAUUCUUGGUGAUUUCGCAUUCCAUUACCUUUCAGUAUGGACGCCCAGCAGCCAUACUUCAUCGUUAUAAAUGAUAAUGCGUCAUGAGGACAUUGAAGCCUCACAAAUGCGAUGAGCCUAGCUGAAAGCAUCACUGCCAAAAUGGCAUGCCAUGCCCCUUCAAAGAUCGGUGGUCAGGUCGAGGUUGGCAUGCAGUGCAGCUUGCCUCUGGCUGACAAGUCUGUUGGGUGCUCGUUCAAACCAGGGAGCGAGUCUAGGAGCGUGCAGACUAUGGAAGCUGUGGAGCAGUUAAGCUCCACCUCAGGUUUUGGUCACGACAUCCCAGAGCACAUCAUUGGCGAUGACUAAGCGGGCCUAGUUGUGUGCAACACUGCCCUCAGGCAAUGAGCAGCAUGCACUGGGCUCCUGAGGUGCACGCCAGCAAUCGCUUCAGACGACCUGUACGCAUGUUGAGACAUCAGUGGCGGACGGGACCUCUUUUGUACCACCUGUUUGUGCCAGCGGAUACUUAUUCUUCCUUAGCACUCUUGUUACAAGGUGCUAUCCACCUCUGCUGAUGCGAAAAGUGAAGCCUUCUCCCUACGAGAAAUGAGACACUAGUGAGCAAUUGAAGUGCCUUUGCAAUGAAUUGAAUCUGCUGUCAUCAGGAGAACUCGUCCACGGUGCUCUCAAGAGAAUUCCAUCAUGUGUCUUCAGUUUCACUGUCAACAGUGUAGCCGUUUUAGAACAAAGCCUCCAGUGAAAAUCGACAGUUGCUCUCUACUUUCUAUUCAUGUAAACCAUACAGCACACUGCCAUAAUCUUGCUUUGCACUUCCACCCAUUUUACCACAUUGUUUUCAAAUGCAGUUAUAAAGUCAAGGCCUGAAACGUUAUUCUUGCACCUCCAGCAGAAAUAACUCGUGUUUGGAGAAAGUUUGCAAAGUUGGCAUGUUUCCCACAAUAAUGACAAAAAUGAUGACGCUUUCUUCAUUUUGACAACUACAAACAAAGAAACUUUAUUUUGUUUCACUGUAUACUACAUGGCAGACACAGGAAGAUCGUGCUAGUUAUUUUGCGACAACCGACCAAAGCGCAACCUCUCCUUGGUAAUUCAGAUGCAUGCAGUUGCAGCGUAACAUUUUCAAAAUGGUUUAAAAGAUGUUUAUUGCCACGUGUGUGGAAUUCGAAUAUGUUCUUUUUAACAACAUAAUAAUCAUACAAUUGCCGACCGAUUUUCUUGGACACCCUAUUUUCUGGGCCGGCCGGAAUAUUUUAACUCUGCAAUAUUAUUGCCAAUUUGCUCCAUAUAGUUAUGUAUAAUAAUAACGAAAAUUUUGAUUGUUUCGAACUGGUCUCGUUUAAUUUUUUU
This is a non-coding RNA of Dermacentor andersoni, 1963 nucleotides long. The record is from RefSeq and is a predicted model, not a curated record. Lineage: Eukaryota; Metazoa; Arthropoda; Arachnida; Ixodida; Ixodidae.